Molecule: unclassified non-coding RNA, 23 nt
Filed under: Mus musculus (house mouse)
Lineage: Eukaryota; Metazoa; Chordata; Mammalia; Rodentia; Muridae
Description: oocyte_clustered_small_RNA10054
Source: RNAcentral
UGGGUUUAUGACAUUGGCAGUCA